UAGGGAAUCCUCCGCAAUGGGGGCAACCCUGACCGAGCAACGCCGCCUGAGUGAAGAAGGUUUUNAGAUNGUACAGCUCUGUUGUAAGUCAAGAACGAGUGUGAGAGUGGAAAGUUCACUCUGUGACGGUAGCUUACCAGAAAGGGACGGCUAACUACGUGCCCGCAGCCGCGGUAAUACGUAGGUACCGAGCGUUGUCCGGACUUAUUGGGCGUAAAGCGAGCGCAGGCGGUUUGAUAAGUCUGAAGUUAAAGGCUGUGGCUCAACCAUAGUUCGCUUUGGAAACUGUCAAACCUGAGUGCAGAAGGGGAGAGCGGAAUUCCAUGUGUAGCGGUGAAAUGUGUAGAUAUAUGGAGGAACACCGAUGGCGAGAGCCGCUCUGUGGUCUCUACUCUACGUUGAGGCUCGCAAGCGUUGGGAAAGAACAGGAGCGACCAGGAUUGGAUACCCUGGUAGUCCCCACCGUAAACGAUGAGUGUUAUGNUNGGAUCCCUNNNGUAAGAGNNCGCAUNAANNGNAUUAAGNACUCCGCCUGGGGAGUACGACCGCAAGGUUG
RNAcentral lists this ribosomal RNA (556 nucleotides) under uncultured bacterium. RNAcentral describes it as "partial 16S rRNA". It matches the Rfam family "Bacterial small subunit ribosomal RNA", at positions 355 to 896 of the family's 1533-position model. The record is from RNAcentral.